AUGCCCAAACCAUCUCAGACAAUGUUGGACAAGCUUCUCUUCAUUCGACUCCAACCCACGCAUUGCUGUAAUUUUUUUAAUUUUUUAGCACCUGACACAUGCGAAGCUAACUGGGCUUCUGAAGAGUGCAGGUGCACAAACUUGGCCCGUCAAGACGUUCGAAUCGUUUUCUUCCUAUGA
RNAcentral lists this ribosomal RNA (180 nucleotides) under Triticum aestivum (bread wheat). RNAcentral's name for it is "partial small subunit ribosomal RNA". Lineage: Eukaryota; Viridiplantae; Streptophyta; Magnoliopsida; Poales; Poaceae. The record is from RNAcentral.